UACGGAGGGAGCUAGCGUUAUUCGGAAUUACUGGGCGUAAAGCGCACGUAGGCGGCUUUGUAAGUAAGAGGUGAAAGCCUGGAGCUCAACUCCAGAACUGCCUUUUAGACUGCAUCGCUUGAAUCCAGGAGAGGUGAGUGGAAUUCCGAGUGUAGAGGUGAAAUUCGUAGAUAUCGGGAGGAACACCAGUGGCGAAGGCGACUUCCUGGCCUGUUCUUGACGCUGAGGCGCGAAAGCUAGGGUAGCAAACGGG
RNAcentral lists this ribosomal RNA (253 nucleotides) under uncultured bacterium. RNAcentral's name for it is "partial 16S ribosomal RNA". It matches the Rfam family "Bacterial small subunit ribosomal RNA", at positions 524 to 776 of the family's 1533-position model. The record is from RNAcentral.